CCUUUCCUAAUAGCUUAAGCUUUUGCAGUCUAAUGCUAAGUUAACAAGGAAAACCCUGGAUCUCGUCUCACAUUAAAUCUCAAAAUAUGUGAGACUUAGAGAAGGUAUCAAUGUUUUCGUCCCUUGAAGUAUUCCUGCAACUACUGCAAUAAGAAAUUCGUUCACUUACAACCAUUGGAUGAGCACCAGAACGGCCAUAAGCAUAAUUCAGGAAGGCAAAGUCAACAUGCAGUGAGAGUGUCACAGAUGCUCAAGAGUAAAGGACAUGGCUCUAGCUGCUUCAAUUGGUGAGAGUAAUCUAAGUAUGGUUUGGUUGUCCUCUUGCUUUUAUACGAAUAAAAAAAAAGUGAUAGAUCUUUGAUGACAGUAACAGUGAAAGAGAAAAGAGGGGGAAAAGUAGUGCACUGAAUCUUGCUACGACAAUUAGACCAAACCUCCUUUUCUACUUUUUACAAUGCAGUAUCAGUCCAGAGAUCCUUGGAAUCAAAACAAAUCCAAGACCUUCAGGCCUUAAAAGGUCUUCUCCGUGACAGUCAA
This 537-nucleotide long non-coding RNA is filed under the name Phoenix dactylifera (date palm). RNAcentral describes it as "long non-coding RNA (PDAC_LNC004057)". Lineage: Eukaryota; Viridiplantae; Streptophyta; Magnoliopsida; Arecales; Arecaceae. The record is from RNAcentral.